CCAAAUGUUGAGUGUUAGCAUCAUGCUAAGGAUGGUUCAUAGAUAUUUGCAUUGAAUCCCUGCAAUUACUGUCUGAAAUGGAAAUAACUUGCUAUCUUACUUCAAGCUCCUGCUUUGACUACCACACUCUACUGCUUCCAACAAAGGGUUUUUUGUGUGUUUUUUUUUUUUUUUUUUCCCCAAGGAACCAUUGUUUGGGGGCAUAGCCUCUAGUUCAGAGGGAUACUUAGAAACGGAAAAUGUUUCCUUUACUUGUCAAAGAAGUUGUUGGGAAAUCUAUAGGCCAGGGUAAAGGAAGUACAUGGCUCAUUAGCAGCAGAAGAAAUACAGAUUAAGCCAGUUGGUCUUAUUACAUUUCUAUAAUAGGGGUAGAGCAGGCCACGCAGUCAUUAUCUGGACACGCUUAGCACUGUUCUCGCGAGACCCUGAGCACUGUUCUCGCGAGACCCUGAGCUCUGAGGUUUGAGGAUCAGCUCUACUAACAGUCAGCUUCACUGUGGUCCUCGUGGCAGAGAGUGUAGUGUGAGGUGGAUUGCAGCCUUCUCCUGAAGCCCUCCAGGCCUAGAGGCCAGCAGGGGCAGCAGCCUAGAGGAGCAACCCCACGUCCAAGGAGCGGAGGCUGCACAGGCGCAGGAGGGCUGAGAGGAGCUACUUCACGUUCAAGAUCAGGAAGGGCAGCCGUGAGGAGAUACCCCCAUCCAAGGCAAGGAGCAGUGGCUGCGCUCUGCUGGAGCGGCUGUGAAGAGAUACCCCACGUCCAAGAAUCUUUAAGGUUACAAGAAUCAUGCACUAGAGGCUAUUUCUCCUUGUUUCAGAAAGAUGAGGAACUUGAUCAGAAGAGUGAGAGGUUCACUCUGGAAUUCUCUCAUGGGACUCUUCAAUUAAGUUGUUGUGACAUUUAAUACAACCCUCAUGAUUUAUGAGAAGUCAGAGAAUCCUGGGGAUCUUCCUGACCCAGGGAUCAAACCUGCAUCUCUUAUGUCUCCUGCAUUGGAAGAUGGAUUCUUUACUGCUAGCGCCACCUGGGAAGCCCAGUAACCUCUGAUAUACCUCCAAAUCAAAAGCAGCCUUCAUGGAUAUUGAAUGCUUAUAGUUUUCCUUUUUUAAGGAAAAGUGAAUUCUAAAAUUUUAAAUUAAAUAGUUUAAUGG
Bos taurus (domestic cattle) is the source of this 1149-nucleotide long non-coding RNA. Lineage: Eukaryota; Metazoa; Chordata; Mammalia; Artiodactyla; Bovidae. The record is from Ensembl.